RNAcentral lists this long non-coding RNA (231 nucleotides) under Sorghum bicolor (sorghum). Its description in RNAcentral is "long non-coding RNA (SBIC_LNC014898)". Lineage: Eukaryota; Viridiplantae; Streptophyta; Magnoliopsida; Poales; Poaceae. The record is from RNAcentral.
GGGAUUCCUGUCGGGUGUCUAAACCGACAGAAACUUAAAUUCCGGUCGGCUUCCAUGCCCACAGGAAUUGUUCCUAGGUGCAAAUUGGAACAGACGCGGGAGAAAACGAAGUUGGCACGGAGAUAUCCUGCGCUCAUUUUCUGGGGCCCACUAGCAAACUGAGAUACAUAUAAAAACAAAACACAAAACCCUAACCAAAUCUCCCAAUCCGUCGCCUCCCACUCCCCACCC